RNAcentral lists this unclassified non-coding RNA (300 nucleotides) under uncultured fungus. Its description in RNAcentral is "partial contains small subunit ribosomal RNA, internal transcribed spacer 1, and 5.8S ribosomal RNA". The stretch from base 1 to 73 matches the Rfam family "Eukaryotic small subunit ribosomal RNA", at positions 1759 to 1831 of the family's 1831-position model. The record is from RNAcentral. Lineage: Eukaryota; Fungi.
GCAAACUUGGUCAUUUAGAGGAAGUAAAAGUCGUAACAAGGUCUCCGUAGGUGAACCUGCGGAGGGAUCAUUACCGAGUUCGUGCCCCUUGCGGGGUAGAUCUCCCACCCUGUGUUAUCGUUACCUUUGUUGCUUUGGCGGGCCGCCCAGGCCCUACAGCCAGGCUACCGGCUCUGGCUGGUACGCGCCCGCCAGAGGACCCUAAACUCAUGAAUAUCAGUGUUGUCUGAGUCCUAUGCACAAUAGUUAAAAACUUUCAACAACGGAUCUCUUGGUUCUGGCAUCGAUGAAGAACGCAGC